UUUUGUCCCUCGGCGGACACCGUUUCCGAGCCCAGCAAUGUCUGCGCUUUCGCCGAUAUCGUAGCGUGCCGAGUUCUACCCUUUCCCCGACGCUGGGCAUGGCGAGCCGAAGGGCCCGGCAGCGCCUCAAGGGCGGCGGCGGCGGCAGCGGCAGCGGCAGCGGCGGGGACACGGGCCCGGCCGCGGAGAAGCUGCGGGAGCUGCUGGGCAGCCGGGAGGCAGGCGGCGCGGAUCAGCGGCCCGAGUCUGGAAAUAAAGCAGGGCAAGUCUGGGCCCCUGAAGGAUCCACUGCUUUCAAGUGCCUGCUCUCAGCAAGGUUGUGCGCCGCUCUUCUGAGCAACAUCUCUGACUGUGAUGAAACAUUCAACUACUGGGAACCAACACACUACCUCAUCUAUGGGAAGGGGUUUCAGACGUGGGAAUAUUCCCCAGUGUAUGCCAUUCGCUCAUAUGCGUACCUGUUGCUGCAUGCCUGGCCAGCUGCGUUUCAUGCCCGGAUUCUGCAGACUAAUAAGAUUCUUGUCUUCUACUUUUUGAGAUGUCUCCUGGCUUUUGUGAGCUGUAUUUGUGAACUCUACUUUUAUAAGGCUGUGUGUAAGAAAUUUGGGCUGCAUGUGAGUCGAAUGAUGCUGGCCUUCUUGGUGCUCAGCACUGGCAUGUUUUGUUCAUCAUCAGCAUUCCUUCCUAGCAGCUUCUGCAUGUACACCACACUGAUCGCCAUGACCGGGUGGUAUAUGGACAAGACACCCAUUGCUGUGCUGGGAGUAGCAGCCGGGGCUAUCCUAGGGUGGCCGUUUAGCGCAGCCCUUGGUUUACCCAUCGCCUUUGACUCGCUGGCCCUGAAAAACAGGUGGAAGAGUUUCUUCCAUUGGUCGCUGGUGGCCCUAAUUCUCUUCCUGGUACCCGUGGUGGUCAUUGACAGCUACUAUUAUGGGAAGUUGGUGAUUGCUCCUCUCAACAUUGUUCUGUAUAAUGUCUUUACUUCUCAUGGGCCUGAUCUUUAUGGUACAGAACCAUGGUAUUUCUACUUAAUCAACGGGUUUCUGAAUUUCAAUGUUGCCUUUGCUUUGGCGCUUCUGGUCUUGCCACUGACUUUUCUUAUGGAGUACCUGCUGCAGAGAUUCCAUGUUCAGAAUUUAGGACACCCAUACUGGCUUACCUUGGCACCCAUGUACAUUUGGUUCAUAAUUUUCUUCAUCCAACCUCACAAAGAGGAACGGUUUCUUUUCCCCGUGUACCCACUCAUAUGUCUCUGUGGUGCCGUUGCUCUUUCUGCACUGCAGAAAUGUUACCACUUUGUGUUUCAACGAUAUCGCCUGGAGCAUUACACUGUGACGUCCAGCUGGCUGGCAUUAGGAACAGUCUUCCUGUUUGGGCUCUUGUCGUUCUCUCGCUCUGUGGCUCUGUUCAGAGGAUAUCAUGGGCCCCUUGAUUUGUAUCCAGAAUUUUACCGAAUUGCCACAGACCCAGCUAUCCACACUGUCCCAGAAGGCAGGCCUGUGAAUGUUUGUGUGGGAAAAGAAUGGUACCGGUUUCCCAGUAGCUUCCUUCUGCCUGAUAAUUGGCAACUUCAGUUCAUUCCAUCAGAGUUCAGAGGUCAGCUACCAAAGCCUUUUGCAGAGGGACCACUGGCCACUCGGACUAUUCCUGCUCACAUGAAUGACCAGAACCAAGAGGAGCCUUCCAGAUACAUUGACAUCAGCAAGUGCCAUUACUUAGUGGAUUUGGAUACCAUGAGAGAAACACCUCGGGAGCCAAACUAUUCAUCCAACAGAGAAGAAUGGAUCAGCCUGGCCCACAGGCCGUUCCUGGACGCAUCUAGUUUUGUCCAUGAGUACUGAGAAAUUUAAGAGUACUCUCUUCUUGAGGCCACGGAAUGCAAAGUACAUUCUAUUAUUAUCGUAAUGAAAGGUCCUGAGUAGUACAGGUCUUCAAAGCUGCUUCGGGCAUUCUACGUGCCCUUCCUGUCGGAUCAGUAUACAGUGUAUGUGAACUACACCAUCCUUAAGCCUCGGAAAACAAAGCAAAGCAGGAAGAGAAGUGGAGGUUAGCAGCACCCCCAUGGCUCAACGGACAGCCACCAUGUUAACUAGUGGUUCCACUGAGCUGACUUCCAGGUCAUCAUAUAACGCUCGUAAUAAAGGUCGCCUGAUACGAAUGCCA
Peromyscus maniculatus bairdii (prairie deer mouse) is the source of this 2163-nucleotide RNA transcript. It is a transcript of the gene named ALG9 alpha-1,2-mannosyltransferase, with no coding region annotated. The record is from RefSeq and is a predicted model, not a curated record. NCBI's taxonomy places the organism in Eukaryota, Metazoa, Chordata, Mammalia, Rodentia, Cricetidae.